This 626-nucleotide ribosomal RNA is filed under the name uncultured bacterium. RNAcentral describes it as "bacterial SSU rRNA". It matches the Rfam family "Bacterial small subunit ribosomal RNA", at positions 36 to 643 of the family's 1533-position model. The record is from RNAcentral.
CUGGCGGCGUGCUAACACAUGCAAGUCGAACGCGAAAGUCCCGCAAGGGAUUAGUAGAGUGGCAAACGGGUGAGUAACGCGUGGGUGACCUGCCUUCGAGUGGGGGAUAACGUUCCGAAAGGGACGCUAAUACCGCAUGACAUCCUGCUUUUUAAGAAGUGGAGAUCAAAGCCGGGGAUCGCAAGACCUGGCGCUUGAAGAGGGGCCCGCGUCCGAUUAGCUAGUUGGUGGGGUAAUGGCUCACCAAGGCAACGAUCGGUAGCCGGCCUGAGAGGGCGGACGGCCACACUGGGACUGAGACACGGCCCAGACUCCUACGGGAGGCAGCAGUGGGGAAUUGUUCGCAAUGGGCGCAAGCCUGACGACGCAACGCCGCGUGGAGGAUGAAGAUCUUCGGGUCGUAAACUCCUUUCGAUCGAGACGAAUGGCCUCUGGGCUAAUCACCAGGGGAAUGACGGUACCGAGAGAAGAAGCCCCGGCUAACUCCGUGCCAGCAGCCGCGGUAAUACGGGGGGGGCAAGCGUUGUUCGGAAUUACUGGGCGUAAAGGGCUCGUAGGCGGCCAACUAAGUCAGACGUGAAAUCCCUCGGCUUAACCGGGGAACUGCGUCUGAUACUGGAUGGCUU